This 406-nucleotide long non-coding RNA is filed under the name Mytilus galloprovincialis (Mediterranean mussel). Lineage: Eukaryota; Metazoa; Mollusca; Bivalvia; Mytilida; Mytilidae. The record is from RNAcentral.
AAAUUCUGAGAAACGUGUCUGUGAUUUAAAGUAAAACUAUUUGGGACCAUGAGUUUUUCAUUGUUUGUUUUUGUAAGUUGAUUUUAUUCGGAGUUGAUCUUAUGUUUCUUUCAAAUAUUUUUGAUUAUUCAUGAUAUGAAGGUCUUGAGUGGAGUUUCGAGAAUAAUUAGCAAACAAUGCUGAACGAAGGGAAAAAAAAAGAAUAAAGAAAAAAUGAUUAAAAAAGAAAAAUAUACAAAAAGAUUGCCAAUAGGACAAUUCUCCACAAGAGACCAAAAUGAACCAGAAAUUAACAACUUUAGGUCACAGUACGGCAUUGAACAAUGAUGAAAGCUCAUACCGCAUAGUCAGCUAUAAAUGGCCCCGAAAUGACAAUGUACAACAAUUCAAACGAGAAAACUAUCGG